CCUACGGGUGGCAGCAGUAAGGAAUAUUGCUCAAUGGGCGAAACCCUGAACCAGCAACGCCGCGUGGGGGAUGAAGGUUUUAGGAUUGUUAACUCCUUUUUUUAGAGAAGUUUAUGACGGUAUCUAACGAAUUAUCACCGUCUAACUCCGUUCCAGCAGCCGUGGUAAUACGGAGGGUGCAAGCGUUACUCGGAAUCACUGGGCGUAAAGCGUGCGUAGGCGGGUUAAUAAGUCAGAUGUGAAAUCCUGUAGCUUAACUACAGAACUGCAUUUGAAACUGUUACUCUGGAGUUUGGGAGAGGUAGGUGGAAUUCUUGGUGUAGGGGUAAAAUCCGUAGAGAUCAAGAGGAAUACUCAUUGCGAAGGCAACCUGCUGGAACAUUACUGACGCUGAUGCACGAAAGCGUGGGGAGCAAACAGGAUUAGAUACCCGUGUAGUC
This 440-nucleotide ribosomal RNA is filed under the name uncultured bacterium. RNAcentral's name for it is "partial 16S ribosomal RNA". It matches the Rfam family "Bacterial small subunit ribosomal RNA", at positions 338 to 795 of the family's 1533-position model. The record is from RNAcentral.